AAAGAGCUAAAUAAUUAAAAAAGUUAUUGUAGUAAAAAUAUUUUAAAUAAUUAUUUAGAAAUGAAACGUUAUUCGUUUUUAAAGAUAUCUAGUUUUUUUGGAAAAAAAUUUAAUUUUAAAUUUAUUAAUUUAAUAAUUUUAAUUAUUUAAUUUUAUUAAUUUUAAAUUUUAUAUUUUAAGGGAUAAGCUUUAAAUUAAAUUUUUAUAAUUAUAUAAUUUUAAUUUUGAAAAUUUUAUAAUUUAUAUUGUUAAUAAAUUUUAUUUUAUUAUAAAUAAUUUCAAUAAAUAUAAAAUUUAAAAUUUAUUUAAUUUUUUAUAAAAAUAUUAUUUUUAAUUUAUAAAAAUAAGUAAUAAUGAUAAAAUUAGUAUAUUUUAUUAAUUAAUAAUUUAAAAUUUAAUUAAAUAAAAAAUUAAUUAAAAGGAAUUCGGCAAAUAUUUAUAUUCACUUGUUUAACAAAAACAUGUCUUUUUGUAAUUAAUUUAAAGUCUAAUCUGCCCACUGAUUUAAUUAUUAAAGGGCUGCAGUAUUUUGACUGUACAAAGGUAGCAUAAUCAUUAGUCUCUUAAUUGGUGACUUGUAUGAAAGAUUGGAUGAAAUAUAAUCUGUCUCUUAAUUAAUUUAUAGAAUUUAAUUUUUUAUUUAAAAAGUUAAAAUAACUUAAAAAGACGAGAAGACCCUAUAAAGUUUUAUAAAUAAUUUUAUAUAAAAUAAUUUAUAUUUAUAAUAUUUUUAUAAGAUUUAUUUAUUUUGUUGGGGUGAUAGAAAAAUUAAUUAAACUUUUUAUUUUACUUUACAUAAAUAAGUGAAUAAAUUGAUCCAAUUUUAUUGAUUAUAAGAUUAAAUUACUUUAGGGAUAACAGCGUAAUUUUUUUUUUUAGUUCAAAUAAGAAGAAAAGUUUGCGACCUCGAUGUUGGAUUAAGAUAAAAUUUAAACGCAAAAGUUUAAAAU
This 950-nucleotide ribosomal RNA is filed under the name Euchristophia cumulata. Its description in RNAcentral is "partial 16S rRNA". Lineage: Eukaryota; Metazoa; Arthropoda; Insecta; Lepidoptera; Geometridae. The record is from RNAcentral.